Molecule: ribosomal RNA, 601 nt
Filed under: uncultured bacterium
Lineage: Bacteria
Description: bacterial SSU rRNA
Rfam family: Bacterial small subunit ribosomal RNA
Source: RNAcentral
GGGCUUUAACUGACGCUGAGGCACGAAAGCGUGGGUAGCAAACAGGAUUAGAUACCCUGGUAGUCCACGCUGUAAACGAUGAUUACUAGGUGUGGGGGGACUGACCCCUUCCGUGCCGGAGUUAACACAAUAAGUAAUCCACCUGGGGAGUACGGCCGCAAGGUUGAAACUCAAAGGAAUUGACGGGGGCCCGCACAAGCAGUGGAGUAUGUGGUUUAAUUCGAAGCAACGCGAAGAACCUUACCAGGUCUUGACAUCCAACUAACGAAGUAGAGAUACAUCAGGUGCCCUUCGGGGAAAGUUGAGACAGGUGGUGCAUGGUUGUCGUCAGCUCGUGUCGUGAGAUGUUGGGUUAAGUCCCGCAACGAGCGCAACCCUUGCUAUUAGUUGCUACGCAAGAGCACUCUAAUAGGACUGCCGUUGACAAAACGGAGGAAGGAGAGGACGACGUCAAAUCAUCAUGCCCCUUAUGACCUGGGCUACACACGUACUACAAUGGCCAUCAACAGAGGGAAGCAAAACAGCGAUGUGGAGCAAACCCCUAAAAAUGGUCUCAGUUCAGAUGCAGGCUGCAACCCGCCUGCAUGAAGUCGGAAUGCUA